RNAcentral lists this ribosomal RNA (483 nucleotides) under uncultured bacterium. RNAcentral describes it as "partial 16S ribosomal RNA". It matches the Rfam family "Bacterial small subunit ribosomal RNA", at positions 29 to 507 of the family's 1533-position model. The record is from RNAcentral.
UUGAACGCUGGCGGCAUGCUUUACACAUGCAAGUCGCACGGCAGCGCGGGCUUCGGCCUGGCGGCGAGUGGCGAACGGGUGAGUAAUACAUCGGAACGUGCCCAGUAGUGGGGGAUAGCUCGGCGAAAGCCGGAUUAAUACCGCAUACGACCUGAGGGUGAAAGCGGGGGAUCUUCGGACCUCGCGCUAUUGGAGCGGCCGAUGGCAGAUUAGCUAGUUGGUGGGGUAAAGGCCUACCAAGGCGACGAUCUGUAGCUGGUCUGAGAGGACGACCAGCCACACUGGGACUGAGACACGGCCCAGACUCCUACGGGAGGCAGCAGUGGGGAAUUUUGGACAAUGGGCGAAAGCCUGAUCCAGCAAUGCCGCGUGUGUGAUGAAGGCCUUCGGGUUGUAAAGCACUUUUGGCGGGAACGAAAAGGACUGUGCCAAUACCACGGUUCGAUGACGGUACCCGCAGAAUAAGCACCGGCUAACUACGUG